UUUGCCCAUCCCAGAAAUUUCUGACUUGUCGUGUCCUCCUCCCUUCAAAUUUCUGCUGAGCACUCCUCCCUUUAGAAGUCUUCAACAAUGCGAUCUCCUCCUUCCUUCAAGUCUCCAGAUCUAUAGGACCAUGUGUUAUUUACUUAUGGGUUAGCUCCUCCCUUCAGAAGUCUCCAGAUUUAUAAACUCUUACGGGUUAGCUACCUACUCAGAGAUUGAAUUCUAUCAUCACCAAAAAAGUUAGCUGAAGAAAGUGUGCAAAAAAAGAAAAAAAAGAACCCUUAUCUUCCAUUCAGUGGUAUUGCAAAUUGUGUUGAAGGUGCAUGCAUUCGGUGGUAUUGCCACUUGUGCAAAGUGAGUCAUAAUCUUCCAUUCACAGUGGGCUGGAAUAUAAGUAUGUUGUGAUUGAUAUUAUUUAUCAUUUAUUUGUUAUUUUUGUUUGGUUUGUGAUUUUCAUUUUGUAUGCUUUGUGCUGAGAAUAUUUUUGUUUGGUUUCCUCUAAAAAUAUGAUCACUAGUUUGGUUUCCUUUGAGAUUUUCUUGCUUGUUCUUGUAAACAAUCCUAGAAGGCAGAGAAUUAUUUGCAAAAACUCAAGCACGAUGUUUGAAUUUAAUUGCAGCUCAUCCCUAAGGAUAUCAAAAGAGUUCCACUCAAUUGGGGGGGAGGUGGGAUAAAAUAUGAUUCCUUUUUAUUUUCUUUAAUUUGGAAAACCUUUUCAAGUCCAUUCUUCUUAAUGGUAUGAUUGAAAAUAAAAAAAAUAAAACUACAAAAAAUCAAUACCUUUUAUCUUCACUUUUUGUUGAGAAUAUUCAGUGCAUAAAAUUAGAAUAACAAUAUUGGUACUACUGCUACUUAUGCUUAACUGAUAUCCAAGCUAGCUAGCAUAAAGAACAAGUUAGUGAUCAUAUUUGUUUUCUCUGUAUGACAACUUAUAUUCUAUGCAUCUUUCACAUGUCCAAAAUCUACAACUCCAAGAGUGAACAUCAACCCUUUAAAUCAUUUUGUCACCUCCUUUAUGGCUUGCCUCAAUGCUUGCAUAAUUCCUCUGUUCUUGAAAGUAAAGCUCUGUUACAUAUAUAUAUAGAUAUAUAUAUUGCAUGUGGUCCUCAUUUGGCAAUACUAGUAUUGUUUCUUUUCUGUACAAUAUUGCCUUCUCCAAUCUUGUCGCAUUAGCAUUUCAUGACUGCCAAAAUUAGAUGAUAUAAUGAGUCUGGUCAUUAGAUUACAAUAUCCUCUGAAAGAGAGAGAUCCUUUUGGUUGCUAGCAAUAGUAGGUUAUUUUACCCAUGAAAAGAAAUGUCUAGCUUGUCAUGCUAAUGGGGAAGAAAUUUAAGCUACUCAUUGCAUUUUAAAUGAGUUUAAUCCAAUAAAUCUUGCAGCAAUUAAUGGGAGAUUAGUAGUACUUUUGAAUUGCUUUAGUAAGCAGACGGGUGAUCUGGUGAUCAAAUAUAAUGUGGCCAUCACUAUCAUGCAAUUAUACUAAAUAACAAUUUCAAGUAAUUCAAAGAUGAAGACAAGUUUGGUAGCUAUUCAUUUUGGGAAGCCAUGGUGACCACAUGAUUAAUCUCAUAUUUGAUUGUAGAGUUUCCUAUGCAUUACUUAAAUUCUCACUUGUCUUGCUCGCUGCAUUUCUUUUAUACUUUAUGUCUUUCUAGUUUUAGAAUUUCUUCAAUAGCUUUAGUACUGAUUUUUUUAACAUGGUGGGUCCCUUUCUCUAAUGUUAACGUUUAGACUCUAAUACCUUUUGGUAUUUCUAAUAGUGGGUUCCAUUUUGGUUACGGAUCCAAUAGCUAGUUCCAUUUCUUUGGUUUGUUUGAAUAAAUGUGGGUUUCCCUUUUUCAAUUAUGUUUGAUUUAUUUUCUAUUACGAUUAUGUAAAGAUAAAACCUUUCCUAUAUGAAAUCUGUAAACUUACUUCCUUC
This is a long non-coding RNA of Carya illinoinensis, 1920 nucleotides long. RefSeq lists it as uncharacterized. NCBI's taxonomy places the organism in Eukaryota, Viridiplantae, Streptophyta, Magnoliopsida, Fagales, Juglandaceae. The record is from RefSeq and is a predicted model, not a curated record. The transcript is spliced from 2 exons.